This 622-nucleotide ribosomal RNA is filed under the name Escherichia coli. Its description in RNAcentral is "bacterial SSU rRNA". It matches the Rfam family "Bacterial small subunit ribosomal RNA", at positions 923 to 1533 of the family's 1533-position model. The record is from RNAcentral. Lineage: Bacteria; Pseudomonadati; Pseudomonadota; Gammaproteobacteria; Enterobacterales; Enterobacteriaceae.
GCACAAGCGGUGGAGCAUGUGGUUUAAUUCGAUGCAACGCGAAGAACCUUACCUGGUCUUGACAUCCACAGAACUUUCCAGAGAUGGAUUGGUGCCUUCGGGAACUGUGAGACAGGUGCUGCAUGGCUGUCGUCAGCUCGUGUUGUGAAAUGUUGGGUUAAGUCCCGCAACGAGCGCAACCCUUAUCCUUUGUUGCCAGCGGUCCGGCCGGGAACUCAAAGGAGACUGCCAGUGAUAAACUGGAGGAAGGUGGGGAUGACGUCAAGUCAUCAUGGCCCUUACGACCAGGGCUACACACGUGCUACAAUGGCGCAUACAAAGAGAAGCGACCUCGCGAGAGCAAGCGGACCUCAUAAAGUGCGUCGUAGUCCGGAUUGGAGUCUGCAACUCGACUCCAUGAAGUCGGAAUCGCUAGUAAUCGUGGAUCAGAAUGCCACGGUGAAUACGUUCCCGGGCCUUGUACACACCGCCCGUCACACCAUGGGAGUGGGUUGCAAAAGAAGUAGGUAGCUUAACCUUCGGGAGGGCGCUUACCACUUUGUGAUUCAUGACUGGGGUGAAGUCGUAACAAGGUAACCGUAGGGGAACCUGCGGUUGGAUCACCUCCUUACCUUAAAGAAGC